AACGAACGCUGGCGGCAGGCUUAACACAUGCAAGUCGAGCGAAGACUUCGGUCUUAGCGGCGGACGGGUGAGUAACGCGUGGGAACGUGCCCUUCUCUAAGGAAUAGCCACUGGAAACGGUGAGUAAUACCUUAUACGCCCUUCGGGGGAAAGAUUUAUCGGAGAAGGAUCGGCCCGCGUUAGAUUAGGUAGUUGGUGGGGUAACGGCCUACCAAGCCUACGAUCUAUAGCUGGUUUGAGAGGAUGAUCAGCCACACUGGGACUGAGACACGGCCCAGACUCCUACGGGAGGCAGCAGUGGGGAAUCUUAGACAAUGGGGGAAACCCUGAUCUAGCCAUGCCGCGUGAGUGACGAAGGCCCUAGGGUCGUAAAGCUCUUUCGCUGGGGAAGAUAAUGACUGUACCCAGUAAGAACCCCGG
Molecule: ribosomal RNA, 420 nt
Filed under: uncultured bacterium
Lineage: Bacteria
Description: bacterial SSU rRNA
Rfam family: Bacterial small subunit ribosomal RNA
Source: RNAcentral